ACUCCUACGGGAGGCAGCAGUGGGGAAUAUUGCACAAUGGGCGCAAGCCUGAUGCAGCCAUGCCGCGUGUAUGAAGAAGGCCUUCGGGUUGUAAAGUACUUUCAGCAGUGAGGAAGGUGGAUAUGUUAAUAGCAUAUUCAUUUGACGUUAGCUGCAGAAGAAGCACCGGCUAACUCCGUGCCAGCAGCCGCGGUAAUACGGAGGGUGCGAGCGUUAAUCGGAAUUACUGGGCGUAAAGCGCAUGCAGGUGGUUUGUUAAGUCAGAUGUGAAAGCCCGGGGCUCAACCUCGGAAUUGCAUUUGAAACUGGCAAACUAGAGUACUGUAGAGGGGGGUAGAAUUUCAGGUGUAGCGGUGAAUGCGUAGAGAUCUGAAGGAAUACCGGUGGCGAAGGCGGCCCCCUGGACAGAUACUGACACUCAGAUGCGAAAGCGUGGGGAGCAAACAGGAUUAGAUCCCCUGGUAGCUCUGC
RNAcentral lists this ribosomal RNA (471 nucleotides) under uncultured bacterium. Its description in RNAcentral is "bacterial SSU rRNA". It matches the Rfam family "Bacterial small subunit ribosomal RNA", at positions 335 to 798 of the family's 1533-position model. The record is from RNAcentral.